UAAGAAAAUAAUUGAGUAAAUUACAUAACGAGUUUACAACGAUGAAGUGAGCUAAUGAAGAACACUUAGAGCUGGGGGUUGUCCAGUUUUACAUAUUUCACUUGAUAAAUAAAGAAAAAAUUACGCGAUAGAGCAAACUAAGUCCUAUUUACCUGAAACAGCGAUAGUUUUACAUAUUUCACUUGAUAAAUAAAGAAAAAAUUACACGAUAGAGCAAACUAAGUCCUUCUAUUUACCUGAAACAGUGAUAGUUUUACAAUAUUACGAUAUGUAGGAAUCACAAGAACCUGGAGAACGAAAUUGAAAAUUUGAAG
Molecule: long non-coding RNA, 314 nt
Filed under: Solanum tuberosum (potato)
Lineage: Eukaryota; Viridiplantae; Streptophyta; Magnoliopsida; Solanales; Solanaceae
Description: long non-coding RNA (STUB_LNC006930)
Source: RNAcentral